AAAGUACUCCCUCCUUCCCAAAAUUCUUGUCUUAGAUUUGUCUAGAUACGGAUGUAUCAAGUCACAUUUUAGUAUUAGAUACAUCUGUAUCUAGACAACUCUAAGACAAGAAAUUUGGGACAGAGGGAGUAGUUG
Triticum urartu is the source of this 135-nucleotide non-coding RNA. NCBI's taxonomy places the organism in Eukaryota, Viridiplantae, Streptophyta, Magnoliopsida, Poales, Poaceae. The record is from Rfam.